This 320-nucleotide ribosomal RNA is filed under the name uncultured eukaryote. RNAcentral describes it as "partial 18S ribosomal RNA". It matches the Rfam family "Eukaryotic small subunit ribosomal RNA", at positions 1470 to 1796 of the family's 1831-position model. The record is from RNAcentral.
CCCUUAGAUGUUCUGGGCCGCACGCGCGCUACACUGACGAAUGCAACGAGCUUAUAACCUUGGCCGAAAGGUCUGGGUAAUCUCCAAAUUUCGUCGUGAUGGGGAUAGAUUAUUGCAAUUAUUAAUCUUCAACGAGGAAUUCCUAGUAAGCGCGAGUCAUCAGCUCGUGCUGAUUACGUCCCUGCCCUUUGUACACACCGCCCGUCGCUCCUACCGAUUGAAUGGUCCGGUGAAAUCUCGGGACGGCGGCUUGGUCGCUUGCGUCCGACUGCUGAAACUUGAUUAAACCAUAUCAUUUAGAGGAAGGUGAAGUCGUAACA